RNAcentral lists this transfer RNA (67 nucleotides) under Gilpinia sp. 2 GYN-2022c. RNAcentral describes it as "tRNA-Asn". The record is from RNAcentral. Lineage: Eukaryota; Metazoa; Arthropoda; Insecta; Hymenoptera; Diprionidae.
UUAAUUGAAGCCAAAAUUAGAGGCUUAUUACUGUUAAUAAUAAAAUUGAAUUUAUAUUCCAAUUAAA